Choloepus didactylus (southern two-toed sloth) is the source of this 416-nucleotide long non-coding RNA. RefSeq lists it as uncharacterized. The record is from RefSeq and is a predicted model, not a curated record. NCBI's taxonomy places the organism in Eukaryota, Metazoa, Chordata, Mammalia, Pilosa, Megalonychidae. The transcript is spliced from 3 exons.
AAAAACUGAAGAAAAUUUUGCAAAUGUUCUGGCAACUGUUCAGUUUCCUUUUCUCUUCUAUCUCUGCAUUCUCAAGGAUGGAUGAUACAUUCACUGAAUGGUAAAAUAAGCUGAAUGGUCAUCUUCCCUGCAAAUGUGAUGCCUGCCUGGCCUGAGAGAGCCGUCAUGAUCUCUCCACAACUUCUCACCCUGAAACUGUGGUUGUAAACUGAGUCCGUUGCACAAGAUCACAAGUCACUGAACUGAAUCCACAGUUGCUUGACCCCAAAACCACAAAUGCUAUGCAAACAGGUAGGAAAUUGGUUAGCAUUUCUCAUGACAUCUCCAGCACCUGGCACCAUCUGGGAGAGUAAACUUAACAACUAUCCACUAUAUUUACAUAUCUAUGUAUCUAUAUAUGUACAAAAUGCCCAGAA